Molecule: transfer RNA, 72 nt
Filed under: Marmota monax (woodchuck)
Lineage: Eukaryota; Metazoa; Chordata; Mammalia; Rodentia; Sciuridae
Also listed under: 1 other name
Rfam family: tRNA
About the family: Transfer RNA (tRNA) molecules are approximately 80 nucleotides in length. Their secondary structure includes four short double-helical elements and three loops (D, anti-codon, and T loops).
Source: Rfam by way of RNAcentral
UAGAAUGUCGCUCAGUGGUAGAGUGCUUGCAUACUAUGCAUGAGCUCUUGGGUUCAACCCCCAGCACCCAAA